This 50-nucleotide non-coding RNA is filed under the name Trichobilharzia regenti. The record is from RNAcentral. Lineage: Eukaryota; Metazoa; Platyhelminthes; Trematoda; Strigeidida; Schistosomatidae.
AUCCAGUUGACGAGUCCCAAAAAUAGGACGAAAUGCGCAUUAUCCUGGAU